This 86-nucleotide transfer RNA is filed under the name Intoshia linei. RNAcentral describes it as "Selenocysteine transfer RNA". It matches the Rfam family "Selenocysteine transfer RNA". Lineage: Eukaryota; Metazoa; Orthonectida; Rhopaluridae. The record is from Rfam by way of RNAcentral.
GCCGCCAUGAGCUUGAGUGGUCUUGAGUGCGGUCUUCAAAACCGUAGGUGAUUGGAUUCGCAGCGGUUCGAUUCCGCCCUGGUGGC